UUUCCUGUGUGAUCCUAGCCCCCCUCACAAGAGCCAGGCUAAGACACUCCUAUUAGAUAAGGCAGAAAAGCAUCCUCCAGUGUUAAUAGCCAGCAUAUUUGUCUUAGGUGAAACAGAGACUACACCUUGGAUUUGUUACAAGAGCAGCUAGGUCAUUAAAUAACCUGGCAACCUACCCAAAGGACACAGAGGCAUCUGUAUGGAAGCAAAGUCUCUCCCUUUGGUUUGUGAGUUAAGAGGCGUCUGGGAAGAGGAGGAGGCGACGGGGACAAGAGCAGCACACACAGUGCCCGGGAGGAUGAGGACCCUUCAAGGGGGCGUGUGGGACUGAUAUGCAGGCAUCUGCGAGCUGUAAUCCCAGCUCUGUCACUUUUUGCCUCUGUGGUCCUGGAAAGGAGGACAGAAAUCUCCCAGUUAGAGACGAAUACUGAAGACAGUUGUUAUAAGCUGUUCUUCAAAGAAAGCAAACCAGAGCAGAAAGGUCAGCGCUACUGUGGAGAAGAAAGCGAGGCAGGAUUCGAGAUUUUUCCUAGGUGCCCUUGAUGAAAAUAUGGAAAUGUCAAGAUUCCAAGGCGGUGUGGGCUUUCCAGGACUCUGGGUCUUCUCCUAUGAAGUGACUGCUAAGAGAUAAGGG
RNAcentral lists this long non-coding RNA (634 nucleotides) under Struthio camelus australis. Its description in RNAcentral is "lncRNA (ENSSCUG00000014130.1)". The record is from RNAcentral. Lineage: Eukaryota; Metazoa; Chordata; Aves; Struthioniformes; Struthionidae.